CAUGUAGUGUCGCUGACUCUUGUGAUUUUCUUCAUUUCUUUUGUUCUACCACCUACCUGAGGAAAUACUUUAAUAUUUCCAGUGAGCAGGCUCCUUAAGGGAGUCCCUAACUGCUCAAAAUGUGGUCCACAGAAGGACAGCCUGGGCAUCACCUGGGAGCUUGUUAAAAAUGCUCAAUCUUAGGCUCCAGCCCAUAAAUGCUGAUGUAGAUCUGAAUUUUAAUAAGACCCCUUCUUGUUUCAUGAGCAAGGUAAAGUUUGAGAAGCAGUGAUCUGGGCCACAUCUGGUCUUCUAAGCAAUUCUGAGAGGGAUUUUAGAGCCUGUUUUUAGUACUUCCAAUAGAGAUGCCACUGGUGUAAAAUUUGCUGGACAGCUAAACUCUGCCUACUUAUAAUUUCUAUACUUAGUCCUUAUUUCAUCUCUUUAGAGCAAAUGAAUAAGUCUAAUAUGAGCCAUCUAAUUAAUAUUUGAAGGCAGAUAAUAUUUCCCAACUCCUUGCAUCCAGUUCCUUCCUCUCUUUCUCUCUCAUCUCUCUUUCAUUGCCUGUUGCUUACUCUUCCUUCACCCCUCCCUUUUAUCUCUUUUCAUGCUAAGCAUUUAUUUUCAGCCGUUCCCUGUUUUACCUGGCCUCCAAACUUUUCAACCUAACUAUUCCUAUUUUAUUAAUGGACACUAGUUACCUACCUGUCCGUUUAUUAUAUGUGUUGUAAAAAAGUGCAGGGACUGUUUAAAAUUGUAGAACAGAGAUCUACUGCUGCUGAUUCUGAAAUAUUUAAAAGCAUUCUCUUGGCGUGUACCAGGCCACGAUAUCUAGGAGGACCCAGUGAGUGACAAUAGUGUUUCAGAUGUGAUUGUUAGGUAUAGUGAAAAAAAAAAAAAAAAA
Cercocebus atys (sooty mangabey) is the source of this 883-nucleotide long non-coding RNA. RefSeq lists it as uncharacterized. NCBI's taxonomy places the organism in Eukaryota, Metazoa, Chordata, Mammalia, Primates, Cercopithecidae. The record is from RefSeq and is a predicted model, not a curated record. The transcript has 2 exons.